Molecule: long non-coding RNA, 505 nt
Organism: Hibiscus syriacus
Lineage: Eukaryota; Viridiplantae; Streptophyta; Magnoliopsida; Malvales; Malvaceae
Exons: 2
Source: RefSeq, a predicted model, not a curated record
AGCCUUCGACGGCGUCUCUUCGGUUGUUUCCGAUUCCGAGAUUCCUUCGCCUAUUGGAAGCCCCGCUCCAUUGUUGGCCCUGGUGAUAAUCCACAGACGGUGAAGACAAGGUUGCGGCAAUGGGCGCAGGUGUUGCUUGUUCGGUGCGGCAAAGCUCAUGACGACGGCGAUGGAUGGAUGUGUUCCAUAACAUGAUAUGGCCAUCAAGGUUUUGAAGAUCAAAUUCUAAGGAAUAAAAACCGAUGAAAGCAGCUUGUAUAUCAAUGUAAAAAAAAAAUGAACUGUCUUUUUGUUUAGCAAAUUUGGUUAGAAAUUUCGGAAAAGGAAAAGAUAAAGAUCCAGACCAGACAUUAAAUGAACUAGAUGACUUUUAUUGCUUGUAAUAGGAAUUUUGCACUGCUGUCCACAGCUGAUUUAUCUUUUAUUUUUUUCCAAUUUGCUCAAGGUUUCGUAGUUUGUCUGAACCAUGCCCUGUAAAAACAUGUUUGCGGCUUUUUUUUGUAUA